GUGCUCAUGGGCGCCGUCGAGGGCUACCGCAUUGCCGGCGGCCCGCUCGGCGAGGUCGUCGACCCGCUCUACCCCGGCGGCAGCUUCGACCCCCUCGGCCUGGCCGACGACCCCGAGGCCUUCGCCGAGCUCAAGGUGAAGGAGCUCAAGAACGGCCGCCUCGCCAUGUUCUCCAUGUUCGGAUUCUUCGUCCAGGCCAUCGUCACCGGCAAGGGCCCACUCGAGAACCUCGCCGACCACCUCGCCGACCCGGUCAACAACAACGCCUGGGCCUACGCCACCAACUUCGUCCCCGGCAACUAAGCUCCAUCCGCUCUGCAACUUCAUUGUCUUCCGGAGGGGGCGUAC
Molecule: long non-coding RNA, 348 nt
Filed under: Panicum hallii
Lineage: Eukaryota; Viridiplantae; Streptophyta; Magnoliopsida; Poales; Poaceae
Description: long non-coding RNA (PHAL_LNC000203)
Source: RNAcentral